This 71-nucleotide transfer RNA is filed under the name Pieris canidia (Indian cabbage white). RNAcentral describes it as "tRNA-Asp". Lineage: Eukaryota; Metazoa; Arthropoda; Insecta; Lepidoptera; Pieridae. The record is from RNAcentral.
AAAGAAUUAGUUAAUUUAUAACAUUUGUAUGUCAAACUUAAAUUAUUACAUUAGUAAUAUUCUUUUAUUCC